This 783-nucleotide ribosomal RNA is filed under the name Triticum aestivum (bread wheat). Its description in RNAcentral is "partial small subunit ribosomal RNA". The record is from RNAcentral. Lineage: Eukaryota; Viridiplantae; Streptophyta; Magnoliopsida; Poales; Poaceae.
AUGGCGGACACCCUCGACAUGUCGCUCGACGACAUCAUCACCAAGAACAAGCACCACCACCGCCGUGGCCGCCACAACCCAGCGUCCGCCGCCUCGGGAGGAUCCGCGCACCCACGCCGCCGCUUCCGCAGCCGCGCCGCUGCCCGCGCCGUCACCGCGCCCUACCACCAACUCAGCCUCCCGCAACAGGUACCGCCGGCUUUCGGAUAUGUUGCCCAGCCGAUGGCCAUGGUGACGGCGCCGUCUGCCUUGGACUCGCCCACCAAGCUCUACAUCUCCAACCUCGACUACAACGUCUCCAACGAGGAUAUCAAGGAACUGUUUUCUGAGAUGGGUGAAAUCCAGCGCUACUCCAUUAACUAUGAAAAGAGUGGAAGAUCANNNGGAACUGCAGAGGUUGUAUUUUCAGCAAGAUCGUCUGCCGUAGCUGCUCUUAAGAAGUACAACAACGUGCAUCUUGAUGGCAAACCUAUGAAAAUUGAAGUCAUUGGGACAAACAUUGAGGCACCUGCACCCAUACCUGCUAUUUUCGCUUUGGCUCCACCGCCUGGAAACUUCAGUUUUCCUUCCAAAAGUGGACCUGGAAUGGGUGUUAGCGGUCGAGGAUGGUCUCGUGGCGGAGGUGGCUUCAGUGGUCGCAGCGGCGGUGGGUUCGGUGGUCGUGGCCGAGGGCGUACGGACCGUGGGCGAGGGAAGGGAGGGGGUGGCAACCUGGAACUUUCUGCUGCAGAUCUCGACGCCGACUUGGACAAGUACCACUCGGCUGCAAUGCAAAUCAGCUAA